GAAUUUUGGACAAUGGGGGCAACCCUGAUCCAGCCAUGCCGCGUGAGUGAAGAAGGCCUUCGGGUUGUAAAGCUCUUUCGGCCGGGAAGAAAUCGCAUAGGUUAAUACCCGGUGUGGAUGACGGUACCGGAAUAAGAAGCACCGGCUAAAUACGUGCCAGCAGCCGCGGUAAUACGUAGGGUGCGAGCGUUAAUCGGAAUUACUGGGCGUAAAGCGUGCGCAGGCGGUUUUGUAAGACAGAGGUGAAAUCCCCGGGCUCAACCUGGGAACUGCCUUUGUGACUGCGAAGCUAGAGUACGGCAGAGGGGGGUGGAAUUCCACGUGUAGCAGUGAAAUGCGUAGAGAUGUGGAGGAACACCGAUGGCGAAGGCAGCCCCCUGGGCCGAUACUGACGCUCAUGCACGAAAGCGUGGGUAGCAAACAGGAUUAGAUACCCUGGUAGUCCACGCCCUAAACGAUGUCAACUAGGUGUUGGGUGGGUAAAACCAUUUAGUACCGUAGCUAACGCGUGAAGUUGACCGCCUGGGGAGUACGGCCGCAAGGUUA
This 546-nucleotide ribosomal RNA is filed under the name uncultured Pseudomonadota bacterium. RNAcentral describes it as "bacterial SSU rRNA". It matches the Rfam family "Bacterial small subunit ribosomal RNA", at positions 359 to 896 of the family's 1533-position model. Lineage: Bacteria; Pseudomonadati; Pseudomonadota. The record is from RNAcentral.